RNAcentral lists this transfer RNA (68 nucleotides) under Tryonicus mackerrasae. RNAcentral's name for it is "tRNA-Leu". It matches the Rfam family "tRNA". From Rfam's summary of the family: Transfer RNA (tRNA) molecules are approximately 80 nucleotides in length. Their secondary structure includes four short double-helical elements and three loops (D, anti-codon, and T loops). Lineage: Eukaryota; Metazoa; Arthropoda; Insecta; Blattodea; Tryonicidae. The record is from RNAcentral.
ACUAUUUUGGCAGAUAAGUGCAAUGGAUUUAGAAUCUAUAAAUGUGGAUUUAUAAUCUACAAUUAGUA